This 1382-nucleotide ribosomal RNA is filed under the name Tylomelania sarasinorum. Its description in RNAcentral is "16S ribosomal RNA". It matches the Rfam family "Bacterial large subunit ribosomal RNA", at positions 535 to 2817 of the family's 2925-position model. Lineage: Eukaryota; Metazoa; Mollusca; Gastropoda; Pachychilidae. The record is from RNAcentral.
AGGAUUAAGCUAUCUUAAAAUUUUUAAGCACAUAAAUAGCCAGUAUUACAGGAUUUGAAACAUCAAAGAACUUAGUAAAUGGGGAAAGAAAGUUAGUAGAAAGAGAGAUAAGUACUGUAAAGGAACUAUAUUAAUUUAAUUUCAGCAGCUACAAUCAGCGUACUUUUUGCAUCACGGCUUAGCAAGAGAAGAUUGGGACUCCAAAAUCUCGAAAGUUAGUGGGCUAUUCUUCUUUGUAAUUUUAGUUUCUAUAAAUUUUAGUUAAGAGUGUAGCAAGACUCUGACAAGAAAGAAGAAUAGAAAUGAGAUUUUAUUCGCACUAACGAUAGCUAGUUCUCCUAUAAAAGCAUAGAAGUGCUGGAACAAAACUAAAAUUAAUAAUAGAAAACUUAUCAAUUUGUUUUGUAUCUUAGUUUACUGAGGAUAAGCUCAGUAAAAAUAAUAAAAUAGUAUACAUCUCAUUUAGCUAGCUAUAUGGGCUUGAAAUUAGCCAUUGUGUUAAAGUUUGUUACAAAAUAGUUUUUAUAUAUAGAAAGAUUGAUAUACUUUUUUUACAGGGGUAACAUGAAAAAUCAUGAUAUCUUGAUUCACUUAUGCUAGGAUGAGUAUUGAUGUAUAAAAUAUAUAAACAAAAAUAGAAAGAUAUAUAAAAUAACUUUGCUCAAAACAAAAUAAGAAUAAGGAAUUCAGCAACGCUUAGCUCCGCCUGUUUAUCAAAAACAUGGCUCUUUGUUAACUAAAUAUAAAGAGUCAGACCUGCCCAGUGAAGUUUUAACGGCCGCGGUACUCUGACCGUGCAAAGGUAGCAUAAUCAUUUGCCUUAUAAUUGAAGGCUUGUAUGAAUGGUUUGACGGGAGCAUUACUGUCUUUUUCUUACCCUAUAGAACUUGACCUUUGGGUGAAGAGGCCCAGAUACAGUUGAAAGACAAAAAGACCCUGUCGAGCUUAAAAAGGAAUCAGAAUAAUUUUAUUAUCCAAGAUUAAUUACUGACUAAUUUUUUUGGUUGGGGCGACCAAGGAACAAGAAAGCUUCCUCUAUUUUCUUAGCUAAUAAGCACGGAUCCAGAAAAAGCUGAUUAAAAGAAGUAGUUACCGCAGGGAUAACAGCAUAAUCUCUCUUGAGAGACCUAAUCGAAAGAGGGGGUUGUGACCUCGAUGUUGGACUAGAAUAUCCCAAAGAUGCAGAAGUCUUUGAAAGUUGGUCUGUUCGACCAUUAAAAUUCUACAUGAUCUGAGUUCAGACCGGCGUAAGCCAGGUCAGCUUCUAUCUUCAACUAUAAAACCUAGUUCUAGUACGAAAGGAUCGAACUAAAAAAAAUCUUUUUAACUGAGAAAAAAUAUAAUUAAGCUAAUAAAGCAAAUUUUAAGUGAUAACAUCAAAU